AUGGCUGGUGUUCUAACGUGGACCCGUAAUCCGGGUUGCGGACAGUGUCUGGUGGGUAGUUUGACUGGGGCGGUCUCCUCCUAAAGAGUAACGGAGGAGCACGAAGGUUGGCUAAUCCUGGUCGGACAUCAGGAGGUUAGUGCAAUGGCAUAAGCCAGCUUGACUGCGAGCGUGACGGCGCGAGCAGGUGCGAAAGCAGGUCAUAGUGAUCCGGUGGUUCUGAAUGGAAGGGCCAUCGCUCAACGGAUAAAAGGUACUCCGGGGAUAACAGGCUGAUACCGCCCAAGAGUUCAUAUCGACGGCGGUGUUUGGCACCUCGAUGUCGGCUCAUCACAUCCUGGGGCUGAAGUAGGUCCCAAGGGUAUGGCUGUUCGCCAUUUAAAGUGGUACGCGAGCUGGGUUUAGAACGUCGUGAGACAGUUCGGUCCCUAUCUGCCGUGGGCGCUGGAAGAUUGAGGGGGGCUGCUCCUAGUACGAGAGGACCGGAGUGGACGCAUCACUGGUGUUCGGGUUGUCAUGCCAAUGGCACUGCCCGGUAGCUACAUGCGGAAGAGAUAAGUGCUGAAAGCAUCUAAGCACGAAACUUGCCCCGAGAUGAAUCUUCCCUGAGCCUUUAAGGCUCCUGAAGGAACGUUGAAGACGACGACGUUGAUAGGCCGGGUGUGUAAGCGCAGCGAUGCGUUGAGCUAACCGGUACUAAUGAACCGUGAGGCUUAACCUUACAAC
RNAcentral lists this ribosomal RNA (726 nucleotides) under Salmonella enterica subsp. houtenae serovar 40:z4,z24:-. RNAcentral's name for it is "partial 23S ribosomal RNA". It matches the Rfam family "Bacterial large subunit ribosomal RNA", at positions 2210 to 2925 of the family's 2925-position model. Lineage: Bacteria; Pseudomonadati; Pseudomonadota; Gammaproteobacteria; Enterobacterales; Enterobacteriaceae. The record is from RNAcentral.